This 253-nucleotide ribosomal RNA is filed under the name uncultured bacterium. Its description in RNAcentral is "partial 16S ribosomal RNA". It matches the Rfam family "Bacterial small subunit ribosomal RNA", at positions 524 to 776 of the family's 1533-position model. The record is from RNAcentral.
UACGGAGGGUGCAAGCAUUAAUCGGAUUUAUUGGGCGUAAAGGGCGCGUAGGCGGGAAAAUAAGUCAGAUGUGAAAUCCCGGGGCUCAACCCCGGAACAGCAUUUGAAACUGUUUUUCUCGAGGAUGGACGGAGAAAAUGGAAUUCCACAAGUAGCGGUGAAAUGCGUAGAUAUGUGGAAGAACACCAGUGGCGAAGGCGAUUUUCUAGUUUAUACCUGACGCUAAAGCGCGAAAGCUAGGGGAGCAAACAGG